Molecule: long non-coding RNA, 10114 nt
Filed under: Gossypium barbadense (sea-island cotton)
Lineage: Eukaryota; Viridiplantae; Streptophyta; Magnoliopsida; Malvales; Malvaceae
Description: long non-coding RNA (GBAR_LNC010991)
Source: RNAcentral
UAAACUCUCUUCCUCUCAGCCCCUUUAGGAUCUGGCCUAGCUCCGGUCAAUGGCCGUCGUGCCGACCGUAGGCCACCGGCAACGGCGCCGCCGUGCGCGGUGGCCGUGGAGCUCAAAACUCCCUCCUCUGAACCCCUUUUCACGUAGAAGAAGAUUUAGGACCUAGAAAACCAUAAACUAAACCCCAAAACCCUUUAAAAUAGCAAAAAAAAGUUCUGACUUUUGGCUUCCUCCGUCGAAGCUUUGACCGGAUCUUUAGGGAUCCAUCAGCCUUCGGACCAGAGAAGCGUGUGCCGAGGGUAUCAACGCCGAAAAUAGGUAAAAACUUUUCCUUUUGUAUAUCUUUAUACCAUAGAUUCGAAAUAAAAAAGAAUAAAUAACUAAGAUAAAAAAAAUGAAACCUUUGAAAUAUUACUUUGAUUAAUCUCUGUAUUGGUAGAUCUUUUUUCCUUUUUUUGUUUUUUUGAAAAAAAGUCCCCCUUUUUUACAUUCCAUUCGGUCUUUUUAAAAGUCGAUUUACAAAUCCCUAUUAUAUUAUUGUUUUCGCUACUGUUCUUGCUGCCUUGCUCUGCUCUUUUCUUUUUCUUUUGUUUACAGGUGUCAGAGGAGUUGGUGGUGGCAUGUGGGCAUCGGUUGCGCAGUGGUAGGCAUGCUGGCCUAGGAGCGGCGGCUGAAAGUUGGGGGGCUAGGGUUUGUCGGCUGAAGAGUUUUAGGAUUAGUUGGGUUAGGGUUUAGUUUUGGGCUUGGGUAUAUUGGGCUGAUUUGGUUUGAUAUUGGGCUUGGAUUUGUAAAAUGAACUUUUAACAAUUAUUGUUUUGUUUGUGUUGUUGGGCCCCGGGCAAAUUUGGGCCCGUACAGCUGCCCCUCUUUGCUUAUUGUCAUGUAACGGGAAUAGAGCAAAGACUAAAAAAAGGCCAAAUUUGUCGAGACCUGCCGAGUCUUGACUUCUUUUGGCACUUCUCUUCUUCAAGUAUCAUCAAUAUGCUCCACUGCAACUUCAAGAUUUACAAUCUUUAGCCUACUCCACUACAACUUUAGUGAGCUAGGACUUGCUUAAAUCUGCUUCACUGCAACUUCAGGAAGCCAAGAUUUAUCAUCUUCGAUUUGCCCCACUGCAACUUCAGGGAGACAAAAUUCACAAUCUCCAGCCUACUCCACUACAAUAUUAUGGAGUUAGGAUGAUGGUUUAAAUCUGCUUCACUGCAACUUCAGAAAGCCAAGAUUCGUCGUCUUUGAUUUGCCCCCACUGCGACUUCAGGGAGACAAGAUCUGUAAAUUUCAGCCUACUCCAUUACAACCUUAGGGAGCUAAGAUUCAUCGUCUUCGAUAUGUUCCACUGUAACUUCAGAGAAACAAGAUCUGCAAAUUUCAGCCUACUCCACUACAACUUUAGGGAGCUAGGAUGAUAGCUUGAAUCUGCUCCACUGCAACUUUAGAGAGCCAAGAUUCACUGAAAUUUCAAGGAUAUCUGAUGUGGCUUUUAGCCGCUCCAACGCCAUUUCAAGGAAAAAAAAGAUCCACUGAAACUUUAAGGAGAUCUGUUGUGGCUUUUAGCCGCUCCAACGCCAUUUCAGGGAGAAAAGAUCCACUGAAACUUCGAGGAGAUCUGCUGUGGCUUUUAGUUGCUCUAACACCAUUUCAAGGAGAAAAGAUCUGCUGAAACUUCAAGGAGAUCUGUUGUGGCUUCUAGCCGCUCCAACGCCAUUUUAGGGAAAAAGAUCCACUGAAACUUCAAGGAGAUCUGCUGUGGCUUUUAGCCGCUCCAACGCCAUUUCAGGGAGAACAGAUCGACUGAAACUUCAAGGAGAUCUGUUGUGGCUUCUAGCCACUCCAACGCCAUUUUAGGGAAAAAAGAUCCACUGAAACUUCAAGGAGAUCUGCUGUGGCUUUUAGUCGCUCCAACGCCAUUUCAGGGAAAAAAGAUCGACUGAAACUUCAAGGAGACCUGCUGUGGCUUUUAGCCGCUCCAACGCCAUUUCAGGGAGAAGAGAGUUAUAAUUUCCAACCUGUUACCCUACUGCGUAGGGGUUUAAGGCUUGUGAAUUCACCGAUUCUAGGGACAUGACCUGUAGAAUCAGUUCCAUGUAUCUAUGCUUAUGUCAAAUAAUUAGGAUUGCUAUGAUCGAAAUGAAUAAAAUGUUCCUAACUAGAUGGGUUAUGAAUGAUAUAUGAAUGCAGAAAUGAAAAUGAUCUUCUUAAAAGGCUUAAGGUAACAUUGUUCGUUGUUCAUCAGAGCCUUAUCAUUGACGCAUUAUGUUGUCGUCUUGUUUAGCUGGUAUUCUUGAUAGAAAACCCAAAGAGACAUCCUCAAUCUGCUCAGUAAGCUUGCCCCACUUAAACUUUAUGGAGUUUUGCUUAUCCCACCCUCUGCAACUCAGGGUAUAGGAUUUGUCUCAUCUUCAAUUAAUUUGAUCUGUUACACCAUUCCCUGGGUGUAAUGACCCAUUGUAUAUGCUCGAUAUUUGCAUGAAUGCAGAGUGUCAUUUUUCUUUUCUCAAGAAUGAUCCACUUUUUACACUUAGGUUGACAUCGCUCGUCAUUUGUCGAUGUUGUAUCACUGACGAAAUAUCUUGUCUCUUCGUUCGACUGAUAUCUUUGACAGAGAAUUCGAAGAGAUAGUCGCAAUUUAGAAACAUCUUCAACCCUUAGGCUUGGUGAGUUCCAAUGGUGAGUUCCAAAUGAUGGUCCUGUUUCAGGUUCUUGUACUGUUUAGAAGCUUCUAGAAUAAUAUGCAGCACCCCUUUUGCGAAGGUAUUAUUAGUCCAUUCGUCGUUAUUUCAAUGCAAAAUGCUUGAAAAGAUUAAAAUAAUGGACAAGAAGGAAAUUGAUUAAGAGCGUAGCUUGAAAUAAAUUAAUCAAAGAUUGCAAAUGCAAUAAGAAGAAAAUUUUCUCAACAUGAAUAAGUUAAUCAAAGAUAGCAAUGCAAUAAGAAGGAAAUUUAUUGAUAAGUAUCUUGAAAAGAGUAAGACAAUCAAAGAUAACAAAUUCAAAAUGGGCAAGAUAGAAAUUGAGUGUCCUAGAUAUCGCAGCUUGAGCUUCUUUCUACCAAUUUCUUGAGGACCUUUCUAAGCUCAAUAUGUGUUUAGGGGAUCCGGAGUACUUUGUCGAUGCUCCGAGAUGUAGCAUACUUCUUCAUUGUUAAUUCAAGCGUAGCAAGACUAUUGCGUGCCUCACUUUGAUCUGAAUUUGAGCCGCCCUUUUCGAGUUUUCAACUCAAAUCUCCUUUGGUCUCAAGGCGCCCUUUGUGAGUUUUCACCUUGGCAUCUCCUUUUUUUUUUGAAAGUCUCAAAGUGUCUUUUACAGGUUUUCGCCUUGGCCACCCAUUUUCUAAGUGAAAUACUUCUUGACGAAAUCUGAAUUCAUCGAUUUGGGCAAGUCUUUGCCAUCCAUUUCGGUCAAUAUUAAUGCCCCUCUAAAAUAGGCUUUUUUUACUACGUAAGGUCCUUUGGCAUCCACUUUACUCUAAAGUCCUCUUGUAUAGGAAGGAUCUUCUUCAAUAUCAAGUUCUCCUAAUAGAAUUCUCUAGGAUGAACCUCUUCAUCGUAAGCUUACAUCGUUCAUUGGACCAUGACAGAUGGCUUUCAACCUCCUUUCUUCAAAUUUAACUAAUCGUAUCAGGAUUGGAUCCGUUUUCCCUUAUCCAAUUUCAAUUCAAACAAGACUCAGAGACAAAGAAUCUCUUUUUCAAAACCGUUUUUUAUCCCAUAGACUGAUGAAAUGUGCCGCCCAUGGCGAAGGUCCUAGCCACUUUUCGAUAAGCAUAGAAGGUAAAUGGUGACUUCUUAUGCCAAUCUUUACAAGUCUCGUUCAUCUUCCCCAUGAUCUUUAAUUUGUUUGUUGGGUUCCUCUCUUCUUCUUCUUCUUCUUCUUCUUCUUCUUCUUCUUCUUCUUCUUUUUACCUUUGCCUUUGCCUUUGCCUUUGCAAUAUAGCGCCUAAUCUUUGAACAGACUGAAAACUUUUGACAUUGUACAGUUGUGUUAGGCACGAAAUUUUUGACAUUCUUUUUUUGACACCCUUUUCUAGAAUUUGAUGACUUUCGUCUUAGUGACAUUGGCAUAUGAAACAACUUUCACCCUUUUUGUGGAAUAAUCGACGACCCUGAAGAUGAAUCUUUGACGGUUAGAAUUUUUCAAAAAGAUCGGCCCAUAAUAUCCAUGCCCCACAUAUAGAAAAUCUGUGAAGAAAUUGAGGAGGCAUAAAAGUCUUGUAUUUUGUUUGGCAUUCACAGCUUGACUGAUACAAUCCCCUUCCAUGUCGGAUCAACAGCCCCCGGAACUUAUGAUUAACCUGGCUAACGUAAAACCAUUAGCAUGUGUCCUUUUGAUACUGAUAUAGGCCCUUUUAGCAUCCAUAGGCCUUAGUAGCCCAGGCAUAUCUUGAUACGAUCAUGUGAGAACAUCUUCGACUUCUUGGAAUGACUCAAUGAUGUCUUGUUUUGUCUUUGUGGUGAUGCUGACUCUAAUGUUUUCCUCUUUCUCUUGUCUUAGGCUUGCUGACCACUGACUUUUUGUAAAGUAGGAUCCCCUUUUUUAAUCUUAUUCUACCGUCCUUAACAAAUCAAGAGAUAGGCUACGUCUCCGUCAUCUUCAAGGUUCUGAGAUCCCUCUAGACACAUACCUUACUCAGAAAGAGACUUGGAGUCGGUGACAGCGUCGCUCCCAUCAUUGAUAUCUGAAAACUUGUUAUAAGUACGAAGGCAGAUUCCAAAGAAUAAAUGAUUCUAAGGAUGAUUAUUUGUAUGGUAUGAUCAUGAAUGAAAGAAUCUAAGAAUAAUCGUUUGUACAGUAUGAGAAUAAAAGAAUAAAAGAAUGGUAAUAACAAUUUCAUUGAAAUAAGGAUUUUGGAUAUAAGCCUAUUUCACAAAAGGAUUCUUGUUGCUUCUAGGCUUAAAACAACAAGUGUGUUUUGAACAUUAUUCUAGAUUAGUUCUAAAAAUACAAGAAUCUUUCACGGUCCCAUCGUUUAAAACACCCUAAGUACGAAAGGGUAGAAGCUUGGAAAAGUCUACUCCUGUGCUCCCUUUUCUGAUACGUCAUUAAUGUUCGGAUUCCCCGAUACCAAGUCCAGCAUUAGAGUCCUAAGCUCGAUGCACCCUUAGAUCUCAUGCCCCUAUUCAGCAUGGAACUCAUAAUGUCCCCCUCUUUAACAGAAAGGUUGGAUAACAGAUUUUCUACUCCAGAGGGAUCAUCGAACUUCACGAUACCCAAUUUGAUAAACCUUUCGAUUAGCUUUUUUAAAGCAGUACAGUUCUCGAUGGAAUGUCCCGUGAUUUCUGAAUGGUAUUCACACUGGCCGUUUGCAUCGUACCAUUUAGGGUAUGGAGGCUGUAUUGGUUCUAUGUAAAAAGGGGAUACAACAUGUGCAUCGAAUAGAAUGCGGUACAACUCCCUGCACGUGAUUGGGAUGGGCAUGAAUUGGGUUUUUUCUGAGUUUGGUCUGUGAUUAGGUUCUUGCCUUAGUGAGGCCCGAUGGCUGGUAGUUACCGUCUUUGGCUGGCUUACUAUAAUCGACUCUGAACGACCCAUGUCAUAUCUACUCAUACUAUUUGCUUUCCUUUCCUUCCUCUUCGGGGCCUUUAAAGUCCACUCUCUCCUUUCCUUUAUUUUUGCUAGAACGAUCGGUUUGGCUUGAUCAUCUUCUGGACUAGAACCUGAACCCAUCGAGAAGCUCAAUAGUGCCGAUGUAUCCGUCUGAGAUUGGUGUCCAGUAAUAAUGGGUAUCCUUUGCAUGUCUGGUUGGGUCAGGACACUUGUUGGUUUAAAACUUGGGGAAUAGACAAUCUCUUCAUUAUCAUCCUCACUAUUGACUACUGGGCCACUCCUUUUUUCAAAUUCUCUGGCCAGUAACUGGGUUAACUGGCCCAUCAUGUUUCUUUGGAGUUCUAGGAUUUGUUCUCGUAUAUCUUGUUGAAUUCUGAUCAAUUGCUCUUGCAUCUGUAUUUGCCUUUGCUCUAUUCUCUCCAACCUUUGGUCCAUAUCUUUUGUCGGUUCUAUAAUUUUACGUAAUUAGGGCCCUUUAGUGAAAGUUUAAUGCAAAUGAUGCAAUGCAAUGCAAAUGCAUGGCAUGAAUGCAAUGGAAAGAAAGAUGUUGAUUAAAUUCCCUUAGAACAACUUUUCUAGAUAACAAAUUCUUUUACAUAAAAUGGAUUAUGUAUACGGCCUUGCUUUCAUAUUCUGGGUGAAGACACUGAUCCCAUUUCCUCGUGAAAGUCUGAUCUAGCAAGCUUUUGAUAAAUGCCUCUACUGGCUCCUUUUGUUUGAUUCAAGCCACCAUUUACUAUCCUUGCAAUGUUGAUUAGCUCCUUUAGGAAAGUCGGGACGCGACGGCCUUUGAAUAAUCUUUGUCAGCUUGAACCCUUAGGUAAAGUCUUGUUUUCUUCUACGAACUGUUAGCCUUCUUCUAUCGUGUUCACUUGGACCCCACUCGGACAACCGUAUUGUAAUUCACUUUAUUAAGAAAUUCGUUUUCUUAUGACAAACUGUUCUAUUUGGAAAUCGAAUAUUAAUCAACAUCUCCUUUCUAUGCUGAUGUAAUGCAAUGCAGUCAUAAAUAAACAAACACAAAACAUGUUAGUACAGAAAUAAGUAACAAAUAAAGUACCUAUUCGGGUAAUCACUAGGGGUUCAGAGUGGCUCUACCUAGGGUAAGCUCUUAGGUCUCUAUAUGUGGCUCGGUUCUAGAGUAAAGGUACCUGAACCAGUAGAUUCCUCGAUCCUCAACCAUUAUAGGCUCAUAUGGAUCGAGUUCGGUUCAGGGGGAUACAUUUCCUUAUGACCAUGCGGAGAUGAAAAUCUCACGAAAUCAUAAGUACGGAUGUACCCCGGAAGCAAUCGACUAGCCCAUGCGGAGGUGAAAACCUCACGAAAGCAUAGUUUCUUACUCCCACUUAGAAGGUGUGACCACAACGGUCAUGCAAUGCCAUGUACGAGGAUAUAUGUAUAAGGAAAACUUAAAGUAAUAAGGAAAACGAGAAAAAAUAAUGGAAACCGUAAGAAAAACGGAUGAAAUGCAAUGAAGGGAUUGUAAAUUUAGAACGAGAAAUAAAUUUUCAAUUUUUGACAAAGGACAAAAAUUAAUCAAUUUAUGGCUCGACUCUCGAACUCCCCAGUGGAGUCGCCAAGCUGUCGAAACCUUUUUUUUGUUGAAAACGAGGAUCGACUUUUUGAAAAGCAAAAAAUGAAGUCGCCACCGACCUUUUUUGAGGUGUAAUCGGAUCACCUUGAAGUAAAUCAUUUUAAUAAAAUAAUAAUUUUAGGUCUACGAAAAUUGAGAGAAAGGGUUCGGGAGUCAGUUAUGAACGAGGAAGGGUUAGCACCCCCGUAACGCCCAAAAUUGGUACCAAACCGAUUAAAUAUCUGUCCUUGUGUCUAAGAUUUAAAAUGCUUUUGAAAUGUGGUUCUUUUUUAUUACAUUUGAGUGACCCGAGUUGGUAUUCAAGAUCUUCUCAUUUCAGAGGAAUAUAGUAUCACAUCUAACACGGUAGGACACGAUCCUUUAUACGCUCGAAAACAUAACAGAUUUCGACUUCCAAAAGUUUAUAAUUCGUAAAUUACAAAAGGAUGCUCAACUAUUUAGUCUAACGAAAAAUCGAAACCCAGCACAGUAGGGCACGACUCCUCGAAUUUCCAAAUAUUCGAGCAUUGCUUUGUUUUAGAAAAUGCGAGUGAAACUGAAAAGGGAUAUUCGAUUAUUUGGGACAAAUAGGAUAUCGCAACCCAACACGAUAGGGUACUAUUCCCGAAUUGCUAAACAUCAAAUAUUUCCUUUGUUUUAAAAAGUUUUUAGAAAACAUGAAUGAAAUUCUAAAGAAGUAUUCGAUUAUUUAGAGCAAACGAGAAAUUGCAACGCAGCACGGUAGGGCACGAUUCCUCGAAUUGCUAAAAAUCGAACAUCACCUUCGUUUUAAGAAAUUGUGAAACUAGCUUAAAACAUAUUAAUUUGAUUUGAAAUAAAACGAGAGUAACCGCCAAAUUUGGACUUUAUAAAACCGAAAAGUUAAAAAAUGUAAAGCAACGUUUGCAAACGAAAACUGAAGUUAUAGACAUGGGGUAAGAUGCACAAAUAAAACACUACGCUUGAUGAAUAAAAAAUGGUAUAAACUUAGGGAACCAAUUGACAAAACCAACAAUAAAAUAUAACUAAUCCGCGAACAAUAUGACCAAAUUUAUAAGCAUGAAUGAACAACAAAUGAUUCAAUAAUACAUAGAAACGUGUAAACAUGAUGUAGCAAAUAUAUACGAAAUAACAUGAAGGUAAUUAAUACAUGAGACACCAAUCAAUAUAAAACCAAUAUGAUACGAAAAUAAUUGUUAAAAAUGGUGGAUUGAUGAGCAAACAACACAUACUAAAAUUUUAAAAAGAAAAAAGAAAAAAAAUUUUAAUAAGAAUAUAUAUAUUUUUUCAAAUAGAUGUGGCAAAAAAGAAGACAUUUGAAUCAAAUAAUAUGCAAAAUGUUUUAACAAAAUUCAUUCAUUUAAAGUUGACACUAUAUACAAUAAAGGAAAAUUUAAAUAAUACACAAAAUUUGAAGGAAUAGUAAAUAUGCAUAGUAAAACAUAAUAUUGGGAAAUAGAUUAUAUACCUAAUAGGUUCAAGGAAACAUAUAUAUGUAUACAAAUAAUUUAAAAGCAACUACCUUAAGAGAAGUAACAUGGAAUUAAAUAUGUAUAUAAGAUCAAGCUAAUUUUACUAUGAAUCAUAUAUAUACGAAUAUAUAAAAAAACAUUUGGAUGGUGUAUUACACAGAAUAUUAAAAUAACACAAGUAAUGAUUUUAUAACAUCAAAGUAAAGUCAUUAAAAAUAACUCCAUACAUAACAAAGGGAGUGAAUCCGGAAAUAAUGAAUAGAAAGCUCAAUUAAACUAAUAUAUGUGCAAGUAUAUAUUAAAAAUAUUUAAAUCAUAAAACGUUAAGAUAAUGUAAUAUAAAAAGCUUCAAAAUCAUGAUUAUAUAAAGUAAAGGUACCAAAAUAUAUAUGAAUAAUAAUGAUAAUAGGUUUAAAAAUAAAACAUAAAAAUAUAUACGAUUAAAUAUAUUUUUCUUUAAUAUACAAAAAAGUGAUAAAUACGAAUAGGCUAUAAUAAAAUGAUGGAUAAUAAGGUAAUAAUAAUAAUAGGAAUAUAAAUAAAACAAAACAUAGUAAAUAAAUAUAUGCAAGGAUUAAAAAUAGAUAAAAUGACAAUAUGUGAAUGAGAAAGUAAAUGCUUAAAUGAAUAAAAUAAAAGAAUAAUGAAUAACUAAGCAAAUAAGUAAUUAAGAAGACAAAUACAUGAAAUAAAGGGCUUGACUGAAAACUUGAAGGAAUUUAAAGAACAAAAAAUGGAAUAUAAUGAAAUAGGGGACCAAACUGUAACACACGAGUGAAACAGAGGGUUCGAAAGGGCAAAUAUCCCUACGCUCUUAAACGCCACGUUUUAUGCAGGACUAAAAAGAGAUACAAGUAGAGUUCUGAGCCAAAAUUAAAAGAAGAAGAAGGAAUAAAAGGACCCAAUCGAAACAGAUCGAAGAAGUGGAAGGACCGAUUUUACAAAUAACCCAUAAGGCGUGAAAACACGCGAGUUAUGGCCUCCAUCGGGUCGAAUCUCUACGGGUUAAGGUGAAACGGCGCCGUUUUGGCACUCGAAAUCCAUGCCCAAAACGAUGCCGUAUGGGAUCAUUAUAUAAACCAAAUUUUUGUUAAAAAUUUUAUUUUUACUUCUUCCCAAAAAAAACCUAAACUCUCUUCCUCUCAGCCCCUUUAGGAUCUGGCCUAGCUCCGGUCAAUGGCCGUCGUGCCGACCGUAGGCCACCGGCAACGGCGCCGCCGUGCGCGGUGGCCGUGGAGCUCAAAACUCCCUCCUCUGAACCCCUUUUCACGUAGAAGAAGAUUUAGGACCUAGAAAACCAUAAACUAAACCCCAAAACCCUUUAAAAUAGCAAAAAAAAGUUCUGACUUUUGGCUUCCUCCGUCGAAGCUUUGACCGGAUCUUUAGGGAUCCAUCAGCCUUCGGACCAGAGAAGCGUGUGCCGAGGGUAUCAACGCCGAAAAUAGGUAAAAACUUUUCCUUUUGUAUAUCUUUAUACCAUAGAUUCGAAAUAAAAAAGAAUAAAUAACUAAGAUAAAAAAAAUGAAAC